UGUCCUCUCUACCUUAUCUCUUUCUCUCCAGAUCUGAGCGGCACGGCGAGCGGCAGCGCUGGCGACACUCGCAUCCGGCGAUGCUUCCAACUCUGUCCAUCUAUUCCUCCCUCCAGUCUAUCACCACCCCCAUCCCCACAUCGGUGUUGUUUCCCCAUGUGCAGACGGUCCUGUGGCACCGAUGCUCUCACCCAGCUGCCGGCGGCGGCACUUCUUGUUCGCUCCCAAGCGCCCAGUGAGGCCACCUCUCCCCUUCCUCCGAUGCCACCUCUGCCCCAAUCCAUACCCAGCUCCCUCUCCACCCUCCCAUGGUAGCAGAUCUGAGCGGGACAAGGUUCCUUCGUUCCUGCUGGUUCAGAACAAGGCGGGUGGUCUCUGCUCCCUUAUUUUCUGGCAACUAGGAGCAUGGUCGUGUUGCCCCCAUCUCUCUUAGCUAUCCAUGGCGGCAAUAAAAACAUCCAGUGAAACAAAUCUUAAUAAGUUUUGUGGAUGUUUCGGCAAUUACUCAACUACUAACAAAAACAUAAGGCCACUGGAAGAUGUCCAUAACUAUAUGCCUGCAUCACAUCAAGUGCAUCUAGAUAUGUAACGAACUAAAUUCAGGAUUCUUCAAGAAGCUGCUUGUAUUCAUGCACAGUGGCGUUGUAGCCAGGGUUCAGUACGUUUGUAGGGUUCAGUCGACACAUGGUUUGCUUGGAAUUCCUGGCUAUGUACAGUUCACCUCCCAUAUUCGAAGAUAUGUCAACCUGCUAGCUCAUUAUCAGGUAUUUUUAUGCAUCUAUUAAUCAUAUGAAAUGUACAAACAGGGAUAGGAUACAAUUUGUAUGAACUUUGGUAGUUAAAUAGCCUUCCUUUCAAAUUGCGAAUUUCUACCUUGUGUUAUGAAUGGAGCGUAGUUUUAUCAUCAUUGUAGCUUAUCUGAAUGACAUAAUAUUAGUGUGUACAAGUUUAGCAGAUAUGACAAUCUUCUUGUUGGACAAAUCCACAAUUAGUUUUAUCUCAUAUGGUCAUGUAUAAAGAGGCCGAAUAACAUCAUUUAUUUGAUUUGUCUUGGCUGGUGAUGAAAAACAUGUUAAUCAUACCAUCUUUUAGGACUGAUCGGUCGCUGCGUCCAUGCUGGCUUUCUGCAAUUCUGAAGCCAAAUUAAAGAACAUUCUUUAAUAGGUUAAUUUUGUGGACAUGGUGCAAUCCAUUUUUAUACGGCCACAGAUUUGAACUCUUCCCUUUAUUUUAACAAAGCCAUAGCUUGGUUGUGUGGCAUGGAUGAAGAUAUGCACUGGGCUCCGAGCAGCAAACAUUGAUGCGUUCUGAUGAAGAUCCAUUUGCCUAGAAAGCAUUGUUUGACGACUCAGCAUUGCACUUCAGAACCAUUUGUUCAUCUAUUAAAGAACAUGAGGGCUGCAUUGUACCGAGGCCUAGGAUUUUUGUACCAUCAUUUUGCCUUCCAGAUUCGGCAUAGUCAAACCAGUAAGGAAAUCUGGUCAGUCGUUGUGCCCAGGUCAAUGGGCAAACUGCUUACCAAACUUCCUACAUCUCUUAUCAUCUGUUUUCUUUUUCUAUAAAAUUCUGCACGCUUGCAGCGGAGGGGAUUGUUUCUAAUUUGCUCAAAUUCUGGAUACUGGUUUGUUGUAGCUGAGACUACCUCGUUCCAGCAUGUAAGUAUGCAUGCUUUCACUAGUAAGGUAGCAUGAUUCAAUUUUGUGUGCUUGUUUGGCAACCUGCCUUUUGUUCGUUUCUUCUUGGGUAUUAGAGACAAUGACUAUUGAUAUUUGGUCUUGUUCAUCGUAACUGGCAUCUUUUGGCCUUGCCAACCAUUCUGUUAUACGACCACCUAUAUUCUGAGUUUUAUUUAGUAUGUCGUGGUUACGAUGAUGAUUAGUGAGAUGGUUUACUUACCAACACUAUGCAACAUUGCAAUUGCACUGGAGUCAAAUGGUGAGAUUUUCUGUUAACAUAUCUUUCUCAAAAAAAUCAAAUUCUUUGAUUCUUACUGCUGGUAACUGAUGAUCAUAUAUCUUACACCCCCAAUGGAAAAUUCCAUGUGUGUAUUAAACUAUUAAUAAUCUCCACUCAUUAUAUAAUGCCUGCAUUAAAAUGAUCUAUUUGUUAUUUUUUCCUUUGCAAAUUUAUCAAUCAAAGCGUGCAAUAGGAUGGCAAGUGAUAUGAAACUAGAAGUACAUGGUGUAGCAAGUGGGCAUCAUAGAUUGUUGUUGGAUCUCUUCAAUUGACUGCUUUUAUUCUUGGUUAGUUUUCAUGGAAAUACAAUACUCGUGAAUCAGCUUUUUACUGUUUUUUGAGAAUAUACACUUCGACUUCUUACAGAGACUUAUUAAUCAAUAAGACAGAACAGUAUAUGUACAGUCGCAGCUACGCUCACAUGUACUGAUAGAGUUUGGUUGUACGGCACCUUUCUGAAGAAACUGCAGGUAUCUAUAAUUUUGUUUGACAGAAGAUCCCAAAGAUCAUGUAUCAGUAUGGUAGUCCUUUGUAGUCUGUACAUUCCCAUUGUUAGGAGUGUAAAUUCAAAUGAUUCCUUAUCCCAGAUCUUUUUAUUGUGCAAAGAGCUUAUUCUUUUUUGAUGGGAUGUUAUUAGAGGUCUGAGGUAUAUAAGUCAAUGCGGUAAAUGAUGUCUAAAGUUUCAUGUAAACUCUUACUUAUUUGUUGCCCAUUCUGUUUAAUCUUUGGCGAUAAAUACAAUACCGCUCCAUAAAAUGAGCGAAUAUCGGAGAAGGUUGCUCUCAGUUUCAGUUUUAAACCAUUUGUCUUGUUGCCAUCUACUUCUAAAUUUUUAAUUCGGUCAUUGUAAAAGUCAUCUAAUGGGCAACUCCUUGUAUAAUUUAUCUUGUUGAUAUUCAUGGAAGCUUUUACAGUUAUCAAUGAAAUAUAGUGUCUAUAAAUUAGGACGUUUUAACGAGUGCUUAGCAUGCACUUUACAUGGUUACCUAUACCUGAAUGAAGUACCUUCCUUAGUAGGUGUUUUUGUACUAGCUUGGCUUGUGAAGUAACAAUUGAUUGUCAAUGUUAUGCUUUAUACAAAUUUUGAUGGUGUGAUUGUCUAUGAAUGUAAUCGCAACUUCUUUACAUUUUGUAGGAAAGACAUGCCAGAGGACGAGGAACCAUGAUGCCAGCGGUUUACGUCAACGUGAUAUUUUGGGUAAUGGUGAUUGAUUCAUUGGAGAUGCAUUUUAGCUACCAUUUCAUAAACCCACAUUGUGUAUGGGACAAUGAACCAUAAUGUAUUCAUUCUGUAAGAUCUGCUGUAUGUAGUUGCCCACUAUAAGGAGCCGAGGUAGAUGAUGUGCGUCGGAGACAUUCUAGAAAACAAAAGAAAUUUUUGCUCUCAGACAAUGAACCAGAAAGUUUCCUCUAUUUAAUUAGUUACAUUACUUUAUAGGGAAUUUGGACGGUCACUAGUUUAUAAUAGAUGGACUAUUUAUAUGUGAAAAGUAAUGAAUGUAUGCUAUUAUUCUUUGGUUCUUGUUUAA
Molecule: RNA transcript, 3485 nt
Organism: Triticum dicoccoides
Lineage: Eukaryota; Viridiplantae; Streptophyta; Magnoliopsida; Poales; Poaceae
Exons: 4
Source: RefSeq, a predicted model, not a curated record